This 253-nucleotide ribosomal RNA is filed under the name uncultured bacterium. RNAcentral describes it as "partial 16S ribosomal RNA". It matches the Rfam family "Bacterial small subunit ribosomal RNA", at positions 524 to 776 of the family's 1533-position model. The record is from RNAcentral.
UACAGAGGUCUCAAGCGUUGUUCGGAUUCAUUGGGCGUAAAGGGUGCGUAGGCGGCGCGGUAAGUCGGGUGUGAAAUCUCGGGGCUUAACUCCGAAACUGCAUUCGAUACUGCCGUGCUUGAGGACUGGAGAGGAGACUGGAAUUUACGGUGUAGCGGUGAAAUUCGUAGAUAUCAAGCGGAACACCGGUGGCGAAGGCGGCCUUCUGGACAGUGACUGACGCUGAGACGCGAAAGCGUGGGGAGCAAACAGG